GGCCUUUUGAUAAUAAUUUAAGGUCUGGCCUGCCCACUGAAAUUUUAAAGGGCCGCGGUAUUCUGACCGUGCAAAGGUAGCAUAAUCAUUAGUUUUUUAAUUGAAAGCUGGAAUGAAGGGUUGAAUGAAAAAAUUACUGUCUCUAUUUAAUUUAAUUAGAAUUUUAUUUUUAAGUUAAAAAGCUUAAAUAAAGUUAAAAGACGAGAAGACCCUAUAGAGUUUAAUAUUUUAUUGAUAAAUUAUUUUUUAGAAUUUAAUAUUAAUUUAUUAAUUGAAUAUUUGAUUGGGGUGAUUGAAAAAUUUAAGUAACUUUUUUUAUAUUUAAACAUUAAUUUAUGAUUAUUUGAUCCAUUAUUUAUGAUUAUAAGAUUAAAUUACCUUAGGGAUAACAGCGUAAUUUUUUUUAAGAGUUCAAAUCGAAAAAAAAGAUUGCGACCUCGAUGUUGGAUUAAAAUUUAUUUUUGGUGUAGAAGCUAAAUUUAUUGGGUCUGUUCGACCUUUAAAAUUUUACA
This 512-nucleotide ribosomal RNA is filed under the name Pharaxonotha floridana. Its description in RNAcentral is "partial 16S ribosomal RNA". It matches the Rfam family "Bacterial large subunit ribosomal RNA", at positions 1819 to 2600 of the family's 2925-position model. Lineage: Eukaryota; Metazoa; Arthropoda; Insecta; Coleoptera; Erotylidae. The record is from RNAcentral.